Molecule: ribosomal RNA, 933 nt
Filed under: uncultured Bacillota bacterium
Lineage: Bacteria; Bacillati; Bacillota
Description: bacterial SSU rRNA
Rfam family: Bacterial small subunit ribosomal RNA
Source: RNAcentral
AGAGUUUGAUCCUGGCUCAGAACGAACGCUGGCGGCGUGCCUAACACAUGCAAGUCGAGCGAGAAAGUCCCCGCAAGGGGAUGAGUAAAGCGGCGAACGGGUGAGUAACACGUGGGCAACCUACCCUUCAGUCAGGAAUAACCCCGCGAAAGCGGGGCUAAUACCAGAUGACGUCCCUCGGGGGCAUCUUCGGGGGACCAAAGGGGGCGAGCGCAAGCGGCUCCCGCUGAUGGAUGGGCCUGCGGCUGAUUAGCUAGUUGGUAGGGUAACGGCCUACCAAGGCGACGAUCAGUAGCCGACCUGAGAGGGUGACCGGCCACACUGGGACUGAGACACGGCCCAGACUCCUACGGGAGGCAGCAGUGGGGAAUAUUGCGCAAUGGGCGAAAGCCUGACGCAGCGACGCCGCGUGGUGAUGAAGGCCUUCGGGUCGUAAAACCCUGUCGGGUGGAACGAAUCUCCAUCCCGUGAAUAGCGGGAUGGAUUGACGGUACCACCGAAGGAAGCCCCGGCUAACUACGUGCCAGCAGCCGCGGUAAUACGUAGGGGGCGAGCGUUGUUCGGAUUUACUGGGCGUAAAGAGCGCGUAGGUGGUCCGAUAAGUCGGAGGUGAAAGCCCUCGGCUCAACCGAGGAUCCGCGUCCGAUACUGUCGGACUUGAGUGCAGGAGAGGAGAGCGGAAUUCCCAGUGUAGCGGUGAAAUGCGUAGAUAUUGGGAGGAACACCGGUGGCGAAGGCGGCUCUCUGGACUGUUACUGACACUGAGGCGCGAAAGCUAGGGGAGCAAACGGGAUUAGAUACCCCGGUAGUCCUAGCCGUAAACGAUGGGCACUAGGUGUGGGAGGUAUCGACCCCUUCCGUGCCGCAGCUAACGCAUUAAGUGCCCCGCCUGGGGAGUACGGCCGCAAGGUUGAAACUCAAAGGAAUUGACGG